AACGAACGCUGGCGGCAUGCCUAACACAUGCAAGUCGAACGAGUGCCUUCGGGUGCUAGUGGCGCACGGGUGCGUAACGCGUGGGAAUCUGCCCUUUGGUUCGGAAUAACAGUUGGAAACGACUGCUAAUACCGGAUGAUGACGAAAGUCCAAAGAUUUAUCGCCAGAGGAUGAGCCCGCGUAGGAUUAGCUAGUUGGUGUGGUAAAGGCGCACCAAGGCGACGAUCCUUAGCUGGUCUGAGAGGAUGAUCAGCCACACUGGGACUGAGACACGGCCCAGACUCCUACGGGAGGCAGCAGUGGGGAACAUUGGACAAUGGGCGAAAGCCUGAUCCAGCAAUGCCGCGUGAGUGAUGAAGGCCUUAGGGUUGUAAAGCUCUUUUACCCGGGAUGAUAAUGACAGUACCGGGAGAAUAAGCUCCGGCUAACUCCGUGCCAGCAGCCGCGGUAAUACGGAGGGAGCUAGCGUUGUUCGGAAUUACUGGGCGUAAAGCGCACGUAGGCGGCUUUGUAAGUUAGAGGUGAAAGCCUGGAGCUCAACUCCAGAACUGCCUUUAAGACUGCAUCGCUUGAAUCCAGGAGAGGUGAGUGGAAUUCCGAGUGUAGAGGUGAAAUUCGUAGAUAUUCGGAAGAACACCAGUGGCGAAGGCAGCUCACUGGACUGGUAUUGACGCUGAGGUGCGAAAGCGUGGGGAGCAAACAGG
This 704-nucleotide ribosomal RNA is filed under the name uncultured Sphingomonas sp. RNAcentral describes it as "bacterial SSU rRNA". It matches the Rfam family "Bacterial small subunit ribosomal RNA", at positions 28 to 776 of the family's 1533-position model. Lineage: Bacteria; Pseudomonadati; Pseudomonadota; Alphaproteobacteria; Sphingomonadales; Sphingomonadaceae. The record is from RNAcentral.